This 377-nucleotide ribosomal RNA is filed under the name uncultured bacterium. Its description in RNAcentral is "bacterial SSU rRNA". It matches the Rfam family "Bacterial small subunit ribosomal RNA", at positions 30 to 407 of the family's 1533-position model. The record is from RNAcentral.
AUUGAACGCUGGCGGCAUGCUUUACACAUGCAAGUCGAACGGCAGCGGGGGCUUCGGUCUGGUGGCGAGUGGCGAACGGGUGAGUAAUGUAUCGGAACGUGCCCAGUCGUGGGGGAUAACGUAGUGAAAAUUACGCUAAUACCGCAUACGAUCUAUGGAUGAAAGCGGGGGAUCGCAAGACCUCGCGCGAUUGGAGCGGCCGAUAUCAGAUUAGGUAGUUGGUGGGGUAAAGGCUCACCAAGCCAACGAUCUGUAGCUGGUCUGAGAGGACGACCAGCCACACUGGAACUGAGACACGGUCCAGACUCCUACGGGAGGCAGCAGUGGGGAAUUUUGGACAAUGGACGCAAGUCUGAUCCAGCCAUUCCGCGUGCAGG